UCCAGGGACCCCAGACAGUGUUUGGUCCCUGACUCUGUGUCCCCACACAGCCACCCCACCCCAUGCUGAGGCACACAGCACUUUAGACAGGAGAAUCCUGAUGGCAGUGGCUGGGUCUCGUGGGACCCAGUCUCCUCCAGGGCUUAGUCUGAGGCUGGAGCUUCUGUAGAUGUUUGAUCAAAGCAAGGAAGCAAGGGAGGGAGGCCGGAAGCCACCCCAGGGAUCCUGAUGGCCACCCUGUGGCAGCCUGUCAGUGGACAGAUGAUACAGGAAGCUAACGGAACUCCCAAGCAGAAAUCGGCAGAGAUGGAUCGCUGGUUACUUUUCAGCACACAAAAGCCAAGGGCCGCUUCCUGAGAUGCGUGCCUCAGCCAGGUAGUGAAACUGAACUCCCCUCAGAUGGGAAAGGCUUGGUGGGCUCUGCUUGUUGGGAAGUACACAGUGGUGCCUCACCCCUGAGGCGAGAAUCAUCACCUCUGCUUUACAAAUGAGAUGACCAAGGGUCAGGGAGGAGGAAGGACACCCCCCCAGCCCCGAGUCGCCUGCCUGGAAGAGAGGGAGCCAGGAUGCGAAUCUUCCCCUGCCAAACCCACUGACUCCAUUAUACUGCCUCCAGAGAACUCGAGCCCCAUGGCUAGAAAGUGGCAGAGCUGGGCCUUGAACCUGGGUCCUGGCCUCUUGGUCCUGUGCUCCUUGUGGAAGGUGGAACUGCUUCUUCAGAGACAAAGUCUCAUUACGUUCCCAGACUGGUCUCAAACUCCUGGGCUCAAGCAAUCCUCUGGCCUCAACUUCCUAAAAUGAUGGGACUACAGGCAUGAGUCACCUCGCCCAGCCUGGGUAGAACUUUCUAAAGUGGGACUCCUUCACACGCCGACUCCCUGGAGCUGGCAAGAGAAAGCCCUUGAGCCUUGCCCUGGCUUGCUGAACCCUCCCUCCCAGCUCUGUCUGCCUUCUUUCUCCAGCUAGCUCCUCAGCUCAAUGCGAGUUCCUCCAGGCAGCUCUCUCGGACUUCGCAGUGACCCUCCCCUGCUGCUCUCAGUAGCAUGCUUCCAGCAUCUCAUCCCAACAGAAUGAACAGCAGCCAAGUGCAACUGUGUGGCCCUGCCUGAGUCAUUUCACUUCCUUUUCAUGCUCUGGCUGUCACACCUUUCCACGGAUAUGAAUGGAGAUGAUCGUGUCGACCCCAAAGGAUCCUUACAUGUCUUAAAAAAGUGAGACACGGAAAGGCCUCAGCCCAGUGCCUAGCAGAGAUGCACAUGGGAGAGAGGAAAUGACUAGAGAAGACCCGGGAGACCCGUGGUGUGCCGGGCACUGGACCUGGGGCUCGGUGGCACCUGCCAGCUCUUUCCAACUGUGAAACACCUGGAUUGCCGCGAGGGUCAGUAACGCGCCCUAAGUCACGCAUCUGGUAAACAGCAAGGCCUGGAUUUGAACCCAGGUUUUGCCAUUACAUCGGAUUAGCUGGCAGUCACCACCUCCUUCCAACCCUCCCUGCCUCACCUGCUCCAUCCUUAUGACUUCAGGUGUCACCUCCCAGCUGGGUUUAAGGGGUUGAGUUGUCCACUCUGAUCUUUUCCAAGCACAAACUGCAAGGUAGACCAGAAUGCAGCCGGCCCUGACUCCAGGGCUACCUACAGAUGCCCCUGUAGCUCCUCAUGCUCCUGCGCUCCUGUGUGAUGUCCUGGGCUGCACAGGAUGACAGGCUGGGGAAGCUCCAAGCUGAAGAGACCAUGUGCUCCCUGACAAUUUGCUGAUCUAAUCACAUACAACUUAAGACAAAGUUAACCCGUCUGAUUGAAUGAUAUGGUAUAAUGGCAAUGACUGAGCUCCCCAGUAAUUAGGCUUAACCAGGAAGCAGCUCAUGGAGUCGGCUGUAAUUAGUAUUUGUGUUACACAGGUGGGUGGGUGGGUGAGGGCUGGGCAGAGGGAGGAGGAAGUGGGUGGGGCACGAAGCUCAGGGACUUUUUGGAUCUAUGAGCCCCAUGCCAACCAACUCAUGUGGGUGAUCCUAACAUUCAUGAUGACCUCAUGAUGUACUGUUAUCUCUCUUCUAAGGUGAGAAAACAGGCUCAGAGAAGUCCAUUCACUUGUCCAAGGUCAUGCAGCUAGAAAAUGACAGAGCCAGGGUUCCCUCUCGAGCCCAGGCGAUGUCUUAGACAGCAGAAGGAACAGGAAUAGAGCUGGGAGGAGGCUGGAGAUCCACAUUUGGGUCCCAGUUCUGACACUGCCUUACCCUGGGCCUCAGCAAGUAGAUCCCUAUUCAGGACACAAAGAGAUGGUAUGUCUGCCAGGUUGUGGGCAGCUGAGGGUGUGGACUUGGGAGCUAGGCUCAUUGGAUUCUAAUCCUUGGGCAAGCUACUUCACCAUCUGAGCCUCAAUGUCCUCAUCUGUAAAGUGGAGAUGACAACAGUGUCUCCCUCAUAGGCUUGUGAAGAUAAAACGAGUAAUAAGACUUAGAACAAUGCCUGAAUAUUACUGUCCUUUAAGGGGAAAAAAUGGGCUUUGUUGUCCAUUUUUCAUCUGUAAAAUGGGAAGGUAGUUGCUGGAUC
Saimiri boliviensis boliviensis (Bolivian squirrel monkey) is the source of this 2549-nucleotide non-coding RNA. The record is from RefSeq and is a predicted model, not a curated record. NCBI's taxonomy places the organism in Eukaryota, Metazoa, Chordata, Mammalia, Primates, Cebidae.